GUAGGUGAACCUGCGGAAGGAUCAUUAACACAAUACAUUUACCCAAAUGUAUUUUUAACCCCCCUUUGCAAACUUGUUUCAUAUUGUUUUCCCGGAUUUUCGAGCGAUUCGUCGCUUACAAAAUCUGUGGUUUCAAACCUUUUUUUAUAACCCCUUGAACUGUCUUGGACUGAAACUCUGAGCUGUGACACACAUACACGGUAAAAACUGUACUUGUGUGUCAUAUCUCUGCCAUAUAUCAAACGCUGAACAACUCUUAGCAACGGAUAUCUUGGCUCUC
This 280-nucleotide unclassified non-coding RNA is filed under the name rhizosphere metagenome. Its description in RNAcentral is "partial ribosomal RNA internal transcribed spacer region". The record is from RNAcentral.